This 419-nucleotide ribosomal RNA is filed under the name bacterium. RNAcentral describes it as "partial 16S ribosomal RNA". It matches the Rfam family "Bacterial small subunit ribosomal RNA", at positions 355 to 776 of the family's 1533-position model. The record is from RNAcentral.
UGGGGGAUAUUGCACAAUGGGCGAAAGCCUGAUGCAGCGACGCCGCGUGGGGGAUGAAGGCCUUCGGGUUGUAAACUUCUUUUGCUCUGAACAAGGCAUGCUAAUGGGUGUGUUGAGUGUAGGGGUUGAUUAGCGCCGGCUAACUACGUGCCAGCAGCCGCGGUAAUACGUAGGGCGCGAGCGUUGUCCGGAAUUAUUGGGCGUAAAGGGCUUGUAGGUGGCUGGUUGCGUCUAUCGUGAAAGCUCAUGGCUUAACUGUGGGUUUGCGGUGGGUACGGGCUGGCUUGAGUGCAGUAGGGGAGGCUGGAAUUCCUGGUGUAGCGGUGGAAUGCGCAGAUAUCAGGAGGAAUACCGGUGGCGAAGGCGGGUCUCUGGGCUGUUACUGACACUGAGGAGCGAAAGCAUGGGGAGCGAACAGG